Molecule: ribosomal RNA, 460 nt
Filed under: uncultured bacterium
Lineage: Bacteria
Description: partial 16S ribosomal RNA
Rfam family: Bacterial small subunit ribosomal RNA
Source: RNAcentral
CCUACGGGAGGCAGCAGUGAGGAAUAUUGGUCAAUGGGCGGGAGCCUGAACCAGCCAAGUCGCGUGAGGGAAGACGGUCCUAUGGAUUGUAAACCUCUUUAGGCGGGGAGCAAUGCCGGGCACGUGUGCCCGGAGGGAUAGUACCCGCAGAAUAAGCCUCGGCUAACUCCGUGCCAGCAGCCGCGGUAAUACGGAGGAUUCGAGCGUUCUCCGGAUUUAUUGGGUUUAAAGGGUGCGUAGGCGGAUUUUUAAGUCAGCGGUAAAAUGUCCGGGCUCAACCCGGGCCGGCCGUUGAAACUGGGGAGCUUGAGUGGGCGAGAAGUAUGCGGAAUGCGUGGUGUAGCGGUGAAAUGCAUAGAUAUCACGCAGAACUCCGAUUGCGAAGGCAGCAUACCGGCGCCCGACUGACGCUGAGGCACGAAAGCGUGGGGAUCGAACAGGAUUAGAUACCCGAGUAGUC